Molecule: ribosomal RNA, 494 nt
Filed under: uncultured bacterium
Lineage: Bacteria
Description: partial 16S ribosomal RNA
Rfam family: Bacterial small subunit ribosomal RNA
Source: RNAcentral
AUUGAACGCUGGCGGAAUGCUUUACACAUGCAAGUCGAACGGUAGAGGGGCAACCCUUGAGAGUGGCGAACGGGUGAGUAGUGUAUCGGAACAUGCCCAGUCGUGGGGGAUAACGUAGUGAAAGUUACGCUAAUACCGCAUACGCUCUAUGGAUGAAAGCGGGGGAUCGCAAGACCUCGCGCGAUUGGCGUGGCCGAUAUCAGAUUAGGUAGUGGGUGGGGUAAAGGCCUACCAAGCCGACGAUCUGUAGCUGGUCUGAGAGGACGACCAGCCACACUGGGACUGAGACACGGCCCAGACUCCUACGGGAGGCAGCAGUGGGGAAUUUUGGACAAUGGGCGCAAGCCUGAUCCAGCCAUUCCGCGUGCAGGAAGAAGGCCUUCGGGUUGUAAACUGCUUUUGUACGGAACGAAACGCGCUGAGCUAAUACCUCGGCGUAAUGACGGUACCGUAAGAAUAAGCACCGGCUAACUACGUGCCAGCCGCCGCUGUAA